GGGCGCAUAGCUCAGUUGGUAGAGCAACGGCCUUACAUGCCGUCGGUCGGGGGUUCGAGUCCCUCUGCGCCACC
RNAcentral lists this transfer RNA (74 nucleotides) under uncultured Acidimicrobiaceae bacterium. RNAcentral's name for it is "tRNA-Val". It matches the Rfam family "tRNA". Rfam says of the family: Transfer RNA (tRNA) molecules are approximately 80 nucleotides in length. Their secondary structure includes four short double-helical elements and three loops (D, anti-codon, and T loops). Lineage: Bacteria; Bacillati; Actinomycetota; Acidimicrobiia; Acidimicrobiales; Acidimicrobiaceae. The record is from RNAcentral.